AACCUCCGCAAUGCGAGCAAUCGCGACGGGGGACCCAAGUGCCACUCUUAACGGGGUGGCUUUAUGAAGUGCUUCAAGAAUAAGAGCUGGCAAGACCGGUGCCAGCCGCCGCGGUAACACCGGCAGCUCUAGUGGUAGCCAUUUUUAUUGGGCCUAAAGCGUUCGUAGCCGGCUUGAUAAGUCUCUGGUGAAAUCCCACAGCUUAACUGUGGGAAUGCUGGAGAUACUAUCAGGCUUGAGGCCGGGAGAGGCUGGAGGUACUCCCGGGGUAGGGUGAAAUCCUAUAAUCCUGGGAGGACCACCUGUGGCGAAGGCGUCCAGCUGGAACGGCCUGACGGUGAGUAACGAAGCCGGGGGGCGCUAACCGGAUUAGAUACCCGGGUAGUCCUGGCCGUAACGAUGUGGACUUGGUGUGGGACAGUGCCGAAGGGAAGCUGUUAAGUCCACCGCCUGGGAAGUACGGUCGCAAGACUGAAACUUAAGGAAUUGGCGGGGAGC
Molecule: ribosomal RNA, 498 nt
Filed under: uncultured archaeon
Lineage: Archaea
Description: bacterial SSU rRNA
Rfam family: Archaeal small subunit ribosomal RNA
Source: RNAcentral